GAUGAACGCUAGCUACAGGCUUAACACAUGCAAGUCGAGGGGUAGCAGGGUAGCAAUACCGCUGACGACCGGCGCACGGGUGAGUAACACGUAUCCAACCUUCCCAUAACUCGGGGAUAGCCUUUCGAAAGAAAGAUUAAUACCCGAUAGUACUUUAUUAAGGCAUCUUAAGAAAGUUAAAGAUUUAUUGGUUAUGGAUGGGGAUGCGUUCCAUUAGAUAGUUGGUGAGGUAACGGCUCACCAAGUCUUCGAUGGAUAGGGGUUCUGAGAGGAAGGUCCCCCACAUUGGUACUGGGACACGGACCAAACUCCUACGGGAGGCAGCAGUGAGGAAUAUUGGUCAAUGGGCGAGAGCCUGAACCAGCCAAGUAGCGUGAAGGAUGAAGGUCCUAUGGAUUGUAAACUUCUUUUAUAGUGGAAUAAAGUGAACCACGUGUGGUUAUUUGUAGGUACUGUAUGAAUAAGGACCGGCUAAUUCCGUGCCAGCCGCCGCCGUAA
Molecule: ribosomal RNA, 498 nt
Filed under: uncultured bacterium
Lineage: Bacteria
Description: partial 16S ribosomal RNA
Rfam family: Bacterial small subunit ribosomal RNA
Source: RNAcentral